Molecule: non-coding RNA, 1561 nt
Organism: Delphinapterus leucas (beluga whale)
Lineage: Eukaryota; Metazoa; Chordata; Mammalia; Artiodactyla; Monodontidae
Source: RefSeq, a predicted model, not a curated record
UGCCCAGGGUUUCUGUCUCUCCAUAAGAGCUCCCAAGACUUUCUCUUUAAAAUGCAACACCGCCCCGCCCCUCCCCUUACACUAGCCAGGCUAGUAACGGGAGAAAUACCAAAGCAACCCUUCGGGUUUACCCUUUUCUCUCGGCUUCCUCUACCUAAACGUCCCGCCCUAAGUUCCUCCUCUCAUCCCUGCUAUCUUCCCCUGUUUUUCCACGCCUGUACCAUCGAAACUCUUAGAGGAGUCGUCCAGGCAAGUGGAUCUCAAACGGGGCAGAGCGAGAGAAUCACCUGUGCCUCCACUGGCCCUCAGUUUCGGAGCAGGAAGACGUGGAGUCCGGCCUGGAUCCGCGUCUGACCGAGCCGGGCUCCGCCGCCCAGCCUGGGACCUUGGAGCAGUUACUUGGUCUCGCCACCCUGUCCAUUCCUCCGCUGUGAGAAGGAGAUAACAUGCGCCUCACCGGGUUGUUUUGAGGACCGAGAGAGAACAUUUGUAGGAAAGCAUUUUGUAAGUGACAGACUGCUAAACACAAUGGAUUAACUUCAGCUCGCGGAUUGCGGCUAAAUGACUGAUGUCUGGACUCCCCCUUUCCCCCAGCCGUCUUCCAGUUUCUUCUGCACUUGGAAUUGCCCUCUCGCCAGGUUAUUGCACACGACGUGCUCGAUUCUGCAUCUCCGGCCACAGGUUUCCCCGGUAGUCAACCCAACGCUCCUGAACCUGGCUCCCACCUUCGUUUCCUUCUCCAGGUGGGCUCUGCUUUGAUGACAGGCUCAUUCUUGGAGGAAUACAAUGGAGACCUAUGGAAGAGAAUUAAGCAGGAGGAAUGGGUGCCAAUGGCAGAUGUAUCAAGACGGGGGGGACUGUUGCCUCUUUGUUAAGAGAAUGAAGACACUCAUCAUAUCAGCUAAGUUCAAACGAGGAGACAAAGGCUUAGACAGUGAAGUGACACAGAAGCAGAACCAGGACCAAAACCAAGGUCUUCUGAAUCCAAGUUCUGGGGUUUUCUGCUCUGCCAUUCACUGAACUGAAUACACAGCCAACUGUGUGUGCACCCAUGUCAGGAAAACAAAGACAAUACCUAUAUUUUCAGGUGGAAUACAUUUCAGGCCCAUGCCACCGAGUGCUCUGAAGCAUCAAAGAACUACCAGCCAGGCUCUGGUCAAGGAAGACCAGCUCCCCUGUAGUUCAGCUGCUGAUAAAAUCUGGGGUCCCAGGGAGGAAUAUGACCUAGGGAUUCCAUGGUCCUGCCAGGUUGCCCUCUCAGUCAUCAACUAAAAGGCCCUGAAUAUGGCCUGGGGAACCUCUGCAGGCUGGGUCCUCACCCCACAUUGCCAACUGUAGCCAUAAACCCAGGCCAGUGACAGGGCUUGGGAGUCCAAAGGAUUACUAUCUUAGUUUUAGACCCAUAAAUCACCUUGAAAUUGGAAACAGCCCUGGAAAUUCUGGAUUGGUUGAUAGAUGUUUUUCCCAAGAUGGCAACACACCCAGCCUUAGACAUUUACAGUUGCCUCAGGCCUAUAUAACAGCUUUCUACUUAGAAACUUUAAAAUGUACACUAGCCACU